AGCUUCCUCAGGCUCCAGGAGGUGGAUGUGGAGCUGAACAGACCCGGCAGCUCUUGGGGUGGAGACACCUUGCAUGGAAUUCCCCCACCCCCUCAAGCCACAGACUGUUUCUACAGGGCUCGUAAGAUUGCUAUUCUUCCUGGACAAUAAGCAGUCUCAGCUUCCACCUCAUUGGAACUAUGACUUCUGAACCCACUGAAUCCAGGCUAUGGGGAUGAGAAGCGGUAAUUAUUGAAGUCAAGCAGUCCUGUGCAGGGAGGACUCACUCUGAAGGCCAAGGAAUGGACUCCAGGACCGAAGCUCAUUAAUAUCACUAGCAUCCUGACAAAUGGGAGGCCGGCAAGCCAGACCGUGUGGCCACUUGGUCACAAGGUGGGGGUCUGCCCCGGGGCCCUGCGCACAUUGAGUGGACGGGCACAAGUGCCAUCCAUAUUUCUCUGCACAGCUCUGGCCCCCACCUCUCACGUCAGCCUGCUGAGCCGGCUUGGCCGAUCUUCCUGGGCUUCACAAAGAAGAUUUAUUCUUCAAGACUGACCUAC
Molecule: non-coding RNA, 539 nt
Organism: Peromyscus maniculatus bairdii (prairie deer mouse)
Lineage: Eukaryota; Metazoa; Chordata; Mammalia; Rodentia; Cricetidae
Source: RefSeq, a predicted model, not a curated record